This 503-nucleotide ribosomal RNA is filed under the name uncultured bacterium. RNAcentral describes it as "partial 16S ribosomal RNA". It matches the Rfam family "Bacterial small subunit ribosomal RNA", at positions 30 to 523 of the family's 1533-position model. The record is from RNAcentral.
AUUGAACGCUGGCGGCAGGCUUAACACAUGCAAGUCGAGCGGGGUGAUGGUGCUUGCACUAUCACUUAGCGGCGGACGGGUGAGUAAUGCUUAGGAAUCUGCCUAUUAGUGGGGGACAACAUCUCGAAAGGGAUGCUAAUACCGCAUACGUCCUACGGGAGAAAGCAGGGGAUCACUUGUGACCUUGCGCUAAUAGAUGAGCCUAAGUCGGAUUAGCUAGUUGGUGGGGUAAAGGCCUACCAAGGCGAAGAUCUGUAGCGGGUCUGAGAGGAUGAUCCUCCAGCAUGGGACUGAGACACGGCCCAGAAUCCUUCGGAAGACAGCAGUGGGAAAUAUUAGACAAGGGGGGAACCCUGAUCCAGCCGUACCGCGUGUAUGGAGAAGGCCUUAUGGUUGUAAAGCACUUUAAGCGAGGAGGAGGCUCUUUUGGUUAAUACCCAAGAUGAGUGGACGUUACUCGCAGAAUAAGCACCGGCUAACUCUGUGCCAGCCGCCGGCCGUAA